This 393-nucleotide ribosomal RNA is filed under the name uncultured bacterium. RNAcentral's name for it is "partial 16S ribosomal RNA". It matches the Rfam family "Bacterial small subunit ribosomal RNA", at positions 523 to 918 of the family's 1533-position model. The record is from RNAcentral.
AUACGGAGGAUGCGAGCGUUAUCCGGAUUCAUUGGGUUUAAAGGGUGCGCAGGCGGCUCGUCAAGUCAGCGGUGAAAGCCCGGGGCCCAACCCCGGAAGUGCCGUUGAUACUGUCGGGCUGGAAUGCGGUCGAGGCGGGCGGGACGUGGCGGGUAGCGGGGGAAUGCGUAGAAAUGCCACAGAACGCCGAUAGCGAAGGCAGCUCGCCAGGCCUGCAUUGACGCUCGGGCACGAAAGCGUGGGGAUCGAACAGGAUUAGAUACCCUGGUAGUCCACGCCGUAAACGAUGGGCGCUCGUCGUCGGCGGCAGAAUGUCGGCGGCCAAGCGAAAGCGAUAAGCGCCCCACCUGGGGAGUACGGUCGCAAGGCUGAAACUCAAAUGAAUUGACGGGG